RNAcentral lists this ribosomal RNA (500 nucleotides) under uncultured Glomeromycotina. RNAcentral describes it as "partial small subunit ribosomal RNA". It matches the Rfam family "Eukaryotic small subunit ribosomal RNA", at positions 591 to 1092 of the family's 1831-position model. The record is from RNAcentral. Lineage: Eukaryota; Fungi; Glomeromycota.
CCAAUAGCGUCUAUUAAAGUUGUUGCAGUUAAAAAGCUCGUAGUUGAACUUCGGGAUCAAUGGAUCGGUCCUGCCAUCGGUAUGUACUGGUCUCAUUGGUUCUCACCUUCUAAGGAACCUUAAUGUCAUUCAUUUGAUGUUUUGGGGAAUUAGGACUGUUACCUUGAAAAAAUUAGAGUGUUUAAAGCAGGCUAACGCUUGAAUACAUUAGCAUGGAAUAAUGAAAUAGGACAUCGCAUUCUAUUUUGUUGGUUUCUAGGAUCGAUGUAAUGAUUAAUAGGGAUAGUUGGGGGCAUUAGUAUUCAAUUGUCAGAGGUGAAAUUCUUGGAUUUAUUGAAGACUAACUACUGCGAAAGCAUUUGCCAAGGAUGUUUUCAUUAAUCAAGAACGAAAGUUAGGGGAUCGAAGACGAUCAGAUACCGUCGUAGUCUUAACCAUAAACUAUGCCGACUAGGGAUCGGAUGAUGUUGAUUUUUUAAUGACUCAUUCGGCACCUUACG